Molecule: small nuclear RNA, 88 nt
Filed under: Ovis aries (sheep)
Lineage: Eukaryota; Metazoa; Chordata; Mammalia; Artiodactyla; Bovidae
Description: U2 spliceosomal RNA (ENSOARG00000035410.1, ENSOARG00260019451.1)
Rfam family: U2 spliceosomal RNA
About the family: U2 is a small nuclear RNA (snRNA) component of the spliceosome (involved in pre-mRNA splicing). Complementary binding between U2 snRNA (in an area lying towards the 5' end but 3' to hairpin I) and the branchpoint sequence (BPS) of the intron results the bulging out of an unpaired adenosine, on the BPS, which initiates a nucleophilic attack at the intronic 5' splice site, thus starting the first of two transesterification reactions that mediate splicing.
Source: Rfam by way of RNAcentral
AUCGCUUCUCGGCCUUUUGGCUAAGAUCAAGUGUAGAAUCCAUAUGUUUUUGAUAAACGUGAGUUUAAUUUGGUGGGGGGUACUUUUC